Camellia sinensis is the source of this 399-nucleotide non-coding RNA. NCBI's taxonomy places the organism in Eukaryota, Viridiplantae, Streptophyta, Magnoliopsida, Ericales, Theaceae. The record is from RefSeq and is a predicted model, not a curated record.
CAGCUCCGUGAUUUCGAAGUUCGAUUUGGAACUCUUCAUCUCUUCAAUCAGAGAUCGAUCGCAGAAAAACACUACACUUUCGUUGCAGAGUUGAGUCGGAAAAAUGAAAUACCUGCUUCAAGGUCAGGUGCUCAUUCACUUCCUAAAUCCAAUAAGAAUAAUGUGCUCAGUACAAGCCACUCAAAGCAUAAUCAGAUUGGUCAAACAGAUAUAUAUUGUUCAAAAGAGUGCAAGAAUACAAGACCCCUUUAAAAAUACUAAAAGUUCUUCAAAUAAAGCAAAGGCUGGUUGUGAUUCCUCAUCUUUGUCUGCAAAAUCACCACUUCAGCAUCCUAGAAGGAAUAUGGUAAGACUCCAAAAGAUCUUUUGACUAUUGGCUUAGUGAAACAUCGUCAUAGA